Molecule: ribosomal RNA, 1564 nt
Filed under: Escherichia coli
Lineage: Bacteria; Pseudomonadati; Pseudomonadota; Gammaproteobacteria; Enterobacterales; Enterobacteriaceae
Description: partial 23S ribosomal RNA
Rfam family: Bacterial large subunit ribosomal RNA
Source: RNAcentral
GGGUCAGCGACUUAUAUUCUGUAGCAAGGUUAACCGAAUAGGGGAGCCGAAGGGAAACCGAGUCUUAACUGGGCGUUAAGUUGCAGGGUAUAGACCCGAAACCCGGUGAUCUAGCCAUGGGCAGGUUGAAGGUUGGGUAACACUAACUGGAGGACCGAACCGACUAAUGUUGAAAAAUUAGCGGAUGACUUGUGGCUGGGGGUGAAAGGCCAAUCAAACCGGGAGAUAGCUGGUUCUCCCCGAAAGCUAUUUAGGUAGCGCCUCGUGAAUUCAUCUCCGGGGGUAGAGCACUGUUUCGGCAAGGGGGUCAUCCCGACUUACCAACCCGAUGCAAACUGCGAAUACCGGAGAAUGUUAUCACGGGAGACACACGGCGGGUGCUAACGUCCGUCGUGAAGAGGGAAACAACCCAGACCGCCAGCUAAGGUCCCAAAGUCAUGAUUAAGUGGGAAACGAUGUGGGAAGGCCCAGACAGCCAGGAUGUUGGCUUAGAAGCAGCCAUCAUUUAAAGAAAGCGUAAUAGCUCACUGGUCGAGUCGGCCUGCGCGGAAGAUGUAACGGGGCUAAACCAUGCACCGAAGCUGCGGCAGCGACACUAUGUGUUGUUGGGUAGGGGAGCGUUCUGUAAGCCUGUGAAGGUGUACUGUGAGGUAUGCUGGAGGUAUCAGAAGUGCGAAUGCUGACAUAAGUAACGAUAAAGCGGGUGAAAAGCCCGCUCGCCGGAAGACCAAGGGUUCCUGUCCAACGUUAAUCGGGGCAGGGUGAGUCGACCCCUAAGGCGAGGCCGAAAGGCGUAGUCGAUGGGAAACAGGUUAAUAUUCCUGUACUUGGUGUUACUGCGAAGGGGGGACGGAGAAGGCUAUGUUGGCCGGGCGACGGUUGUCCCGGUUUAAGCGUGUAGGCUGGUUUUCCAGGCAAAUCCGGAAAAUCAAGGCUGAGGCGUGAUGACGAGGCACUACGGUGCUGAAGCAACAAAUGCCCUGCUUCCAGGAAAAGCCUCUAAGCAUCAGGUAACAUCAAAUCGUACCCCAAACCGACACAGGUGGUCAGGUAGAGAAUACCAAGGCGCUUGAGAGAACUCGGGUGAAGGAACUAGGCAAAAUGGUGCCGUAACUUCGGGAGAAGGCACGCUGAUAUGUAGGUGAAGUCCCUCGCGGAUGGAGCUGAAAUCAGUCGAAGAUACCAGCUGGCUGCAACUGUUUAUUAAAAACACAGCACUGUGCAAACACGAAAGUGGACGUAUACGGUGUGACGCCUGCCCGGUGCCGGAAGGUUAAUUGAUGGGGUCAGCGCAAGCGAAGCUCUUGAUCGAAGCCCCGGUAAACGGCGGCCGUAACUAUAACGGUCCUAAGGUAGCGAAAUUCCUUGUCGGGUAAGUUCCGACCUGCACGAAUGGCGUAAUGAUGGCCAGGCUGUCUCCACCCGAGACUCAGUGAAAUUGAACUCGCUGUGAAGAUGCAGUGUACCCGCGGCAAGACGGAAAGACCCCGUGAACCUUUACUAUAGCUUGACACUGAACAUUGAGCCUUGAUGUGUAGGAUAGGUGGGAGGCUUUGAAGUGUGG